RNAcentral lists this ribosomal RNA (496 nucleotides) under uncultured bacterium. Its description in RNAcentral is "partial 16S ribosomal RNA". It matches the Rfam family "Bacterial small subunit ribosomal RNA", at positions 28 to 507 of the family's 1533-position model. The record is from RNAcentral.
GAUGAACGCUGGCGGCGUGCCUAAUACAUGCAAGUCGAGCGAACGGACGAGAAGCUUGCUUCUCUGAUGUUAGCGGCGGACGGGUGAGUAACACGUGGAUAACCUACCUAUAAGACUGGGAUAACUUCGGGAAACCGGAGCUAAUACCGGAUAAUAUUUUGAACCGCAUGGUUCAAAAGUGAAAGACGGUCUUGCUGUCACUUAUAGAUGGAUCCGCGCUGCAUUAGCUAGUUGGAAGGUAACGGCUUACCAAGGGAACGAUGCAUAGCCGACCCGAGAGGGUGAUCGGCCACACUGGAACUGAGACACGGUCCAGACUCCUACGGGAGGCAGCAGUAGGGAAUCUUCCGCAAUGGGCGAAAGCCUGACGGAGCAACGCCGCGUGAGUGAUGAAGGUCUUCGGAUCGUAAAACUCUGUUAUUAGGGAAGAACAUAUGUGUAAGUAACUGUGCACAUCUUGACGGUACCUAAUCAGAAAGCCACGGCUAACUACGUG